This 1345-nucleotide ribosomal RNA is filed under the name uncultured bacterium. RNAcentral's name for it is "partial 16S ribosomal RNA". It matches the Rfam family "Bacterial small subunit ribosomal RNA", at positions 28 to 1380 of the family's 1533-position model. The record is from RNAcentral.
GACGAACGCUGGCGGCGUGCUUAACACAUGCAAGUCGAACGGAAAGGCCCUGCUUUUGUGGGGUGCUCGAGUGGCGAACGGGUGAGUAACACGUGAGUAACCUGCCCUUGACUUUGGGAUAACUUCAGGAAACUGGGGCUAAUACCGGAUAGGAGCUCCUGCUGCAUGGUGGGGGUUGGAAAGUUUCGGCGGUUGGGGAUGGACUCGCGGCUUAUCAGCUUGUUGGUGGGGUAGUGGCUUACCAAGGCUUUGACGGGUAGCCGGCCUGAGAGGGUGACCGGCCACAUUGGGACUGAGAUACGGCCCAGACUCCUACGGGAGGCAGCAGUGGGGAAUAUUGCACAAUGGGCGGAAGCCUGAUGCAGCAACGCCGCGUGCGGGAUGACGGCCUUCGGGUUGUAAACCGCUUUCGCCUGUGACGAAGCGUGAGUGACGGUAAUGGGUAAAGAAGCACCGGCUAACUACGUGCCAGCAGCCGCGGUGAUACGUAGGGUGCGAGCGUUGUCCGGAUUUAUUGGGCGUAAAGGGCUCGUAGGUGGUUGAUCGCGUCGGAAGUGUAAUCUUGGGGCUUAACCCUGAGCGUGCUUUCGAUACGGGUUGACUUGAGGAAGGUAGGGGAGAAUGGAAUUCCUGGUGGAGCGGUGGAAUGCGCAGAUAUCAGGAGGAACACCAGUGGCGAAGGCGGUUCUCUGGGCCUUUCCUGACGCUGAGGAGCGAAAGCGUGGGGAGCGAACAGGCUUAGAUACCCUGGUAGUCCACGCUGUAAACGGUGGGUACUAGGUGUGGGGUCCAUUCCACGGGUUCCGUGCCGUAGCUAACGCUUUAAGUACCCCGCCUGGGGAGUACGGCCGCAAGGCUAAAACCCAAAGGAAUUGACGGGGCCCCGCACAAGCGGCGGAGCAUGCGGAUUAAUUCGAUGCAACGCGUAGAACCUUACCUGGGUUUGACAUGGAUCGGGAGUGCUCAGAGAUGGGUGUGCCUCUUUUGGGGUCGGUUCACAGGUGGUGCAUGGCUGUCGUCAGCUCGUGUCGUGAGAUGUUGGGUUAAGUCCCGCAACGAGCGCAACCCUUGUUCACUGUUGCCAGCACGUUAUGGUGGGGACUCAGUGGAGACCGCCGGGGUCAACUCGGAGGAAGGUGGGGAUGACGUCAAGUCAUCAUGCCCCUUAUGUCCAGGGCUUCACGCAUGCUACAAUGGCUGGUACAGAGAGUGGCGAGCCUGUGAGGGUGAGCGAAUCUCGGAAAGCCGGUCUCAGUUCGGAUUGGGGUCUGCAACUCGACCUCAUGAAGUCGGAGUCGCUAGUAAUCGCAGAUCAGCAACGCUGCGGUGAAUACGUUCCCGGGGC